UUGCGGGUCGGCAGGUUCGAUGAGGCUGCGCAGAAGCCUCGCUGCGGCGGUGAUGUUUUGGCUAGCCCGAGCAAACUGUGGGGGGUCGUCCCCCCAGCUAGGAUGUUGCGUUGGACCUGGCGGGUGCGACCUCGAGUGCCGCUCACCAGGUUGCGCGCGUGCGGCUCGGAGCGUGCCGCUGGGCGUGCCAACGAUGGUGGCUAGUAGGCCUACCGCUAUUGUUGUGGCUCAUUGCCGUGCGCCUACACCUGCGCCUGGGCCUCCACGUGGUGGUC
RNAcentral lists this long non-coding RNA (275 nucleotides) under Setaria viridis. RNAcentral's name for it is "long non-coding RNA (SVIR_LNC001827)". Lineage: Eukaryota; Viridiplantae; Streptophyta; Magnoliopsida; Poales; Poaceae. The record is from RNAcentral.